CAGUAGUUAAGAGCUCUUUUAGAAUUUGUCUAGAAGGCUUGGAAAGCCCCA
Molecule: small nuclear RNA, 51 nt
Organism: Callithrix jacchus (white-tufted-ear marmoset)
Lineage: Eukaryota; Metazoa; Chordata; Mammalia; Primates; Cebidae
Gene: U7
Rfam family: U7 small nuclear RNA
About the family: Animal histone pre-mRNAs are spliced by a different mechanism than nuclear pre-mRNAs and self-splicing introns.
Source: Ensembl